UACAGAGGUCUCAAGCGUUGUUCGGAAUCACUGGGCGUAAAGCGUGCGUAGGCUGUUUCGUAAGUCGUGUGUGAAAGGCGCGGGCUCAACCCGCGGACGGCACAUGAUACUGCGAGACUAGAGUAAUGGAGGGGGAACCGGAAUUCUCGGUGUAGCAGUGAAAUGCGUAGAUAUCGAGAGGAACACUCGUGGCGAAGGCGGGUUCUUGGACAUUAACUGACGCUGAGGCACGAAGGCCAGGGGAGCGAAAGGG
RNAcentral lists this ribosomal RNA (253 nucleotides) under uncultured bacterium. Its description in RNAcentral is "partial 16S ribosomal RNA". It matches the Rfam family "Bacterial small subunit ribosomal RNA", at positions 524 to 776 of the family's 1533-position model. The record is from RNAcentral.